UACGGAGGGUGCAAGCGUUACUCGGAAUCACUGGGCGUAAAGGACGCGUAGGCGGGAUGCCAAGUCUGAUGUGAAAUCCUACAGCUCAACUGUAGAACUGCAUUGGAAACUGGUAACCUAGAGUAUGGGAGGGGGGGAUGGAAUUAGUGGUGUAGGGGUAAAAUCCGUAGAUAUCACUAGGAAUACCUAAAGCGAAGGCGAUCUCCUGGAACAAUACUGACGCUAAGGCGUGAAAGCGUGGGGAGCAAACGGGAUUAGAAACCCUAGUAGUCC
Molecule: ribosomal RNA, 273 nt
Filed under: uncultured bacterium
Lineage: Bacteria
Description: partial 16S ribosomal RNA
Rfam family: Bacterial small subunit ribosomal RNA
Source: RNAcentral